GGGGGCAACCCUGACCGAGCAACGCCGCGUGAGUGAAGAAGGUUUUCGGAUCGUAAAGCUCUGUUGUAAGUCAAGAACGAGUGUGAGAGUGGAAAGUUCACACUGUGACGGUAGCUUACCAGAAAGGGACGGCUAACUACGUGCCAGCAGCCGCGGUAAUACGUAGGUCCCGAGCGUUGUCCGGAUUUAUUGGGCGUAAAGCGAGCGCAGGCGGUUUGAUAAGUCUGAAGUUAAAGGCUGUGGCUCAACCACAGUUCGCUUUGGAAACUGUCAAACUUGAGUGCAGAAGGGGAGAGUGGAAUUCCAUGUGUAGCGGUGAAAUGCGUAGAUAUAUGGAGGAACACC
RNAcentral lists this ribosomal RNA (345 nucleotides) under uncultured bacterium. Its description in RNAcentral is "bacterial SSU rRNA". It matches the Rfam family "Bacterial small subunit ribosomal RNA", at positions 373 to 710 of the family's 1533-position model. The record is from RNAcentral.